UACGUAGGGGGCAAGCGUUGUCCGGAAUUAUUGGGCGUAAAGCGUGCGCAGGCGGUUGUGCAAGACCGAUGUGAAAUCCCCGGGCUUAACCUGGGAAUGGCAUUGGUGACUGCACGGCUAGAGUGUGUCAGAGGGGGGUAGAAUUCCACGUGUAGCAGUGAAAUGCGUAGAGAUGUGGAGGAAUACCGAUGGCGAAGGCAGCCCCCUGGGAUAACACUGACGCUCAUGCACGAAAGCGUGGGGAGCAAACAGG
RNAcentral lists this ribosomal RNA (253 nucleotides) under uncultured bacterium. RNAcentral's name for it is "partial 16S ribosomal RNA". It matches the Rfam family "Bacterial small subunit ribosomal RNA", at positions 524 to 776 of the family's 1533-position model. The record is from RNAcentral.